CUCAGGUAACGAAAGACCGUACUCGAAACCGACACAGGUGGUCAGGUAGAGAAUACCAAGGCGCUUGAGAGAACUCGGGUGAAGGAACUAGGCAAAAUAGCACCGUAACUUCGGGAGAAGGUGCGCUCUUGAUGGUGAUGAAACUUGCUUUCAAAGCUGUCGGGAGCCGAAGUAACCAGGCCGCUGCGACUGUUUAUUAAAAACACAGCACUCUGCAAACUCGUAAGAGGACGUAUAGGGUGUGACGCCUGCCCGGUGCCGGAAGGUUAAUUGAUGGGGUUAGCGCAAGCGAAGCUCUUGAUCGAAGCCCCGGUAAACGGCGGCCGUAACUAUAACGGUCCUAAGGUAGCGAAAUUCCUUGUCGGGUAAGUUCCGACCUGCACGAAUGGCGUAACGAUGGCGGCGCUGUCUCCACCCGAGACUCAGUGAAAUUGGAAUCGCUGUUAAGAUGCAGUGUACCCGCGGCUAGACGGAAAGACCCCGUGAACCUUUACUAUAGCUUGGCACUGAACUUUGAAUCUACUUGUGUAGGAUAGGUGGGAGGCUUUGAAGCGUGGACGCUAGUCUGCGUGGAGCCAUCCUUGAAAUACCACCCUGGUAUAUUUGAGGUUCUAACUCCGGCCCGUUAUCCGGGUCGAGGACAGUGUCUGGUGGGUAGUUUGACUGGGGCGGUCUCCUCCCAAAGAGUAACGGAGGAGCACGAAGGUACCCUCGGCAUGGUCGGAAAUCAUGCUAUGAGUGCAAAGGCAUAAGGGUGCUUGACUGCGAGACUUACAAGUCGAGCAGGUACGAAAGUAGGUCUUAGUGAUCCGGUGGUUCUGUAUGGAAGGGCCAUCGCUCAACGGAUAAAAGGUACUCCGGGGAUAACAGGCUGAUACCGCCCAAGAGUUCACAUCGACGGCGGUGUUUGGCACCUCGAUGUCGGCUCAUCACAUCCUGGGGCUGAAGCAGGUCCCAAGGGUAUGGCUGUUCGCCAUUUAAAGUGGUACGCGAGCUGGGUUUAGAACGUCGUGAGACAGUUUGGUCCCUAUCUGCCGUGGGCGUUGGAAAUUUGAGGAGAGCUGCUCCUAGUACGAGAGGACCGGAGUGGACGAACCUCUGGUGUUCGGGUUGUCACGCCAGUGGCAUUGCCCGGUAGCUAUGUUCGGACAGGAUAACCGCUGAAAGCAUCUAAGCGGGAAGCCCCCUCCAAGAUGAGAUUUCCCUGGGUCCUUGAGGCCCCUGAAGGGCUGUUUUAGACCAAGACGUUGAUAGGCCGGGUGUGUAAGCGUCGCGAGGCGUUGAGCUAACCGGUACUAAUUGCCCGUGAGGCUUGACC
Molecule: ribosomal RNA, 1318 nt
Filed under: metagenome
Description: bacterial LSU rRNA
Rfam family: Bacterial large subunit ribosomal RNA
Source: RNAcentral